AUGGGCCGCUGGCGGGCUGGACCGGACCGCACCGACCAGCCUGGCGGUCCUGUUUUCAGGGACCGGACCGGCAACGGCGAAGCCCGGACCGGACCGAGAGGACCGGCAAGUGGCGAUGUGGUGACCAUGGCGGCAGGACAUGGAAAUGUAGGUGAAUCAGGCUCCAAGAAUGGGUUUGAGACCGACUUUCUUCUUGUUCCAGAAUGUAGGCGAAUCAGGCUGGCUUUCCGUUCCUUUGGCCAAUGUGGGAAGAUCUGGAGCGUCAGCUGUUCAACUUCUGUGGGAUUUCUGGGGACUCUUAGAAGAUUCAACACAUCCUCUCCUAUCCCCCUUCUCUCUAGGCACUACGUUGCGCCCACCUCCAAAUCCUGCGUUGCUGCCUCACCUCUGCAGCCUCGUUUCCGCUUGCCGCUUGGCCGACCGUACUCGCCGACGACCCGAAGCAACCAUUACGCGAUAAGUUCAGAUCCUAGAUUGGGGAUGUCCACAUGUGUACUACCUGAUGAGCUGGUGGUAGACAUCCUGUCUCGACUGCCGCUAAACUCCCAAGAACUCCCGCUGGCCUCUUGUACCGGAAAUUUGAGCGUGGCAGAGUUGCCUCCCCUCUUGGCAGUGCCAUCCAUCUCGCCAGACUGCCCUAAGAAAAUUAGAAGUGAAGAAAUUUCCAAUGCUAUUGUGUGCAAUCCAGCAACUCAAGAGUGGAUGGCACUUCCAGAUACUGAACCUGGCCCGGCCCGCUCCAAUAAUGCAUUUGAGUUGUGUUUCGAUCCAUUAUGGUCGGAACACUUCUAUGUCUUCAAAUUCCAGUCUAUCGAGGUCAUGAGCUGUAUCAACACUGAAGUUAAGCACUUCAUCUUGAAUAAAAUCCUGGCGCUAGACGCACCUGACACAUGUACACAAGGGCUCAACCAUAGGUUCAUUCAGCUGCCAGGAUAUCCAGAUAGGACGGACAUAUUUUGCUGUUAUAACGGCCGUCUUAGCCAGUCCUCAGGCGUCUUGUGCUAUGCGAAACAAGAAUGGGAUGGUUGUGCGAUAAGGAUUUGGAGUUUGGAAGGCCCCGACAGGUGGGUAGUGAAGCAUCGUCUGAGUAUGGUCGAUGUAUUUGGGAGGGACAUGUUACUCCGCACUCACAGUGAUGGAUAUUGGCAUUUCGAUUAUGACAUCAGGACUGUUAACCUGGAGAGGGAGCUGGUUAUCCUUGAUGACGAAAUUGCUGAUAAGAUCAUCUCGGUUAGCAUCAGCACUGGAAAAGGCUCACAGUUUCAAAAGAUUCCAAGAAGAUUCACUAAACUAUAUCACAGUCUAUUUUAUGUGCCGUACUAUGGCAAGCUGACCAUGUACAGAAGAAUAGCUGGCUUUCUUCUUGUUAGCUUCUUUAUGCCUUUCCUUCCUUUGGCUAUUUUCGGUAGAGGGGGGAGAUCCGAAGAAGAAACCCGUAACCGCAUUAACGGCAUGAGUGAUGCCCAGGGUGUACCAAAUCGCGAAGAAGACAAGGUUUCGUCGGAGAUCCUCAUUCCGAUGCUGAAAGCAGGCUUCUCCUUAAUAACCAUCUAA
RNAcentral lists this ribosomal RNA (1554 nucleotides) under Triticum aestivum (bread wheat). RNAcentral's name for it is "partial small subunit ribosomal RNA". The record is from RNAcentral. Lineage: Eukaryota; Viridiplantae; Streptophyta; Magnoliopsida; Poales; Poaceae.